AAAAGACUCAGUCCUAACCUUACUAUUGGUUCUUGCUAGACAUAUACAUGCAAGUAUCCGCACCCCAGUGAAAAUGCCCCCAAGCCUUUGCCCCAAAGCAAAAGGAGCAGGUAUCAGGCACACCCAAGUUUAGCCCAAGACGCCUUGCUAAGCCACACCCCCACGGGUAUUCAGCAGUAAUUAACCUUAAGCAAUAAGUGCAAACUUGACUUAGCCAUAGCAAUGCCAGGGUUGGUAAAUCUUGUGCCAGCCACCGCGGUCAUACAAGAAACCCAAGUCAAUAGCCAUUCGGCGUAAAGAGUGGUCACAUGUUAUCUGCAUCAACUAAGAUCGAAAUGCAACUAAGCUGUCAUAAGCCCAAGAUACACCUAAGUCCAACCUGAACACCAUCUUAGCCAUCAUGACCAAUUUAAACCCACGAAAGCCAGGACACAAACUGGGAUUAGAUACCCCACUAUGCCAGGCCCUAAAUCUAGAUACCCAAACAUCUACUUACGUAUCCGCCCGAGAACUACGAGCACAAACGCUUAAAACUCUAAGGACUUGGCGGUGCCCCAAACCCACCUAGAGGAGCCUGUUCUAUAACCGAUAAUCCACGAUUCACCCAACCAUCCCUCGCAACACAGCCUACAUACCGCCGUCGCCAGCCCACCUCCAGUGAAAGAACAACAGUGAGCUCAAUAGUCCCCGCUAACAAGACAGGUCAAGGUAUAGCCCAUGGGAUGGAAGCAAUGGGCUACAUUUUCUAAAAUAGAACAAACGAAAAAGGGCAUGAAAUCGGCCCUUAGAAGGAGGAUUUAGCAGUAAAGCGGGAUCAUAUUGGGCCCGCUUUAAGACGGCCCUGAGGCACGUACAUACCGCCCGUCACCCUCUUCAAGAGCCACCAACCCCAAAUAAAUAAUUUACCCGCCCCGAGCUAAAGACGAGGCAAGUCGUAACAAGGUAAGUGUACCGGAAGGUGCACUUAGACAA
This 972-nucleotide non-coding RNA is filed under the name Pternistis ahantensis (Ahanta francolin). Its description in RNAcentral is "12S ribosomal RNA". It matches the Rfam family "Bacterial small subunit ribosomal RNA". Lineage: Eukaryota; Metazoa; Chordata; Aves; Galliformes; Phasianidae. The record is from RNAcentral.